Molecule: unclassified non-coding RNA, 812 nt
Filed under: Hevea brasiliensis (rubber tree)
Lineage: Eukaryota; Viridiplantae; Streptophyta; Magnoliopsida; Malpighiales; Euphorbiaceae
Source: RNAcentral
CUGUGCGGAAUGCAGCUUGGAUCUGCAUAAGAGGAAAGAAAUGCAUUUGCAUAGCUUUUGAGCAAAUCAUGUUGCACACCGUUAUGGAAAUUAUAUUCUCAAGAAUAUAUUUAUACGCAGAUUAUUAAUAAAUGAAAGAAGAAGAAAAGUUUUCAGAAGCAAGUAUCACACAUAAGAGCAAGAGAUGCAUUUCCACACAUUGAAAAUGUUCGUUCCAUUAAUCAAAAUUAAGAAAAGUCCAACACUCAGUCGUCAAACAAGAAAUAAUUUCAUCUUCAAGCUACAAUGAUCAAGUAAACUAUCAGUGUCAUGCAAAAAGAAUGACAUUGCUGUCCAUUGUCUUGUGUGGUUAACUGAACAAAAAAAAUGAGAUCAUCUAUGAUACUGUUACCAGAAAUGGAACAUUUUUUGCAAAAUGUAAUACCAGCAUCAAAUCAAAAGGCAUGAGAUCGGCCGCUAUUAUCCUAUGUGGCUAACUUAAGAAAAACAAAUGAAAUAACUAUACAUGUAUGUUGUUGCUGGAAUUAAAACAAUUUUUUGCAAAAAAUGUGAAUAGUUGCACCUCAAGCAGAGCUCUUUAGACAUAAUUUAACCUAGCAGUUCAUUAUCUUGUGUUUCAAAAACAUGUUUAAGUCUAUGCAGAUUCCAGAGCACCAAAAGCAAAGCAUCUAUACGUAAAUGUGAGUUUUUUUUUUAAGUCUUUUUUCACAGUUUCAAAUCAUCACCUUCUUCCAAUUUUGCACUCACAAGUUGCAAGCAAAUAUGAUUGAACAUUGACAUGCAGUUGUGCUUUUGUUUGUGCAUAUGCACAC